AAACAUGACGCGAGAGUGACAAAAAUGAAAUUAAGCGAGAAUGAAAUGAGAAAAGUGAGCACUGAAAUCGUGAUGACAAAACGUAUAACGUGAGGUUUCUAUGUUUUGUCAUCAUUUCUCUUUGAAGGAAGUCGGAGAUAUUGCUUUUCGAGUGGUAAAAGGAGGUUUGAACGAGUUUAUGAUAAAAUCUUGGAUGCUUAUUUGUUGUAAUUGACA
Caenorhabditis elegans is the source of this 216-nucleotide non-coding RNA. Lineage: Eukaryota; Metazoa; Nematoda; Chromadorea; Rhabditida; Rhabditidae. The record is from Ensembl.